Molecule: ribosomal RNA, 253 nt
Filed under: uncultured bacterium
Lineage: Bacteria
Description: partial 16S ribosomal RNA
Rfam family: Bacterial small subunit ribosomal RNA
Source: RNAcentral
UACGGGGGGGGCAAGCGUUGUUCGGAAUUACUGGGCGUAAAGGGCUCGUAGGUGGCCAACUAAGUCAGACGUGAAAUCCCUCGGCUUAACCGGGGAACUGCGUCUGAUACUGGAUGGCUUGAGUUCGGGAGAGGGAUGCGGAAUUCCAGGUGUAGCGGUGAAACGCGUAGAUAUCUGGAGGAACACCGGUGGCGAAGGCGGCAUCCUGGACCGACACUGACGCUGAGGAGCGAAAGCCAGGGGAGCAAACGGG